GGGCCUGUAGCUCAGUUAGGUAGAGCAUCUGGCUUUUAACCAGGUGGCCAGGGGUUCGAAUCCCCUCAGGCCCG
RNAcentral lists this transfer RNA (74 nucleotides) under Euryarchaeota archaeon RBG_13_31_8. RNAcentral's name for it is "tRNA-Lys". It matches the Rfam family "tRNA". Rfam says of the family: Transfer RNA (tRNA) molecules are approximately 80 nucleotides in length. Their secondary structure includes four short double-helical elements and three loops (D, anti-codon, and T loops). Further hydrogen bonds mediate the characteristic L-shaped molecular structure. tRNAs have two regions of fundamental functional importance: the anti-codon, which is responsible for specific mRNA codon recognition, and the 3' end, to which the tRNAs corresponding amino acid is attached (by aminoacyl-tRNA synthetases). tRNAs cope with the degeneracy of the genetic code in two manners: having more than one tRNA (with a specific anti-codon) for a particular amino acid; and 'wobble' base-pairing, i.e. permitting non-standard base-pairing at the 3rd anti-codon position. Lineage: Archaea; Methanobacteriati; Methanobacteriota. The record is from RNAcentral.